RNAcentral lists this ribosomal RNA (467 nucleotides) under uncultured bacterium. Its description in RNAcentral is "partial 16S ribosomal RNA". It matches the Rfam family "Bacterial small subunit ribosomal RNA", at positions 28 to 506 of the family's 1533-position model. The record is from RNAcentral.
GACGAACGCUGGCGGCGUGCUUAACACAUGCAAGUCGAACGGAAAGGCCCUGCUUUUGUGGGGUGCUCGAGUGGCGAACGGGUGAGUAACACGUGAGUAACCUGCCCUUGACUUUGGGAUAACUUCAGGAAACUGGGGCUAAUACCGGAUAGGAGCUCCUGCUGCAUGGUGGGGGUUGGAAAGUUUCGGCGGUUGGGGAUGGACUCGCGGCUUAUCAGCUUGUUGGUGGGGUAGUGGCUUACCAAGGCUUUGACGGGUAGCCGGCCUGAGAGGGUGACCGGCCACAUGGGGACGGAGAUACGGCCCAGACUCCUACGGGAGGCAGCAGUGGGGAAUAUUGCACAAUGGGCGGAAGCCGGAUGCAGCAACGCCGCGUGCGGGAUGACGGCCUUCGGGUGGUAAACCGCUUUCGCCUGUGACGAAGCGUGAGUGACGGUAAUGGGGAAAGAAGCACCGGCUAACUACGU